Rhododendron molle is the source of this 73-nucleotide non-coding RNA. The record is from the annotation of a GenBank genome assembly. Lineage: Eukaryota; Viridiplantae; Streptophyta; Magnoliopsida; Ericales; Ericaceae.
ACAUUAGUUUGAUUUAGUGGUAGAAUAGUACCCUGCCACAGUACAGACCCGGGUUCGAUUCCCGGCUGGUGCA